Molecule: ribosomal RNA, 484 nt
Filed under: uncultured bacterium
Lineage: Bacteria
Description: partial 16S ribosomal RNA
Rfam family: Bacterial small subunit ribosomal RNA
Source: RNAcentral
ACUCAAAGGAAUUGACGGGGGCCCGCACAAGCAGCGGAGCGUGUGGUUUAAUUCGAGGCUACGCGAAGAACCUUACCCGGGUUUGACAUAGCGCCGAACGACGGUGAAAGCCGAAGGGUCCUUCGGGACGGCGUUACAGGUGCUGCAUGGCUGUCGUCAGCUCGUGUCGUGAGAUGUUCGGUUAAGUCCGAAAACGAGCGCAACCCUCGGCGUUAGUUACAAGUGUCUAACGCGACUGCCUGCGGCAAGCAGGAGGAAGGUGAGGAUGAUGUCAAGUCAGCAUGGCCUUUAUAUCCGGGGCUACACACACGCUACAAUGGGCAGUACAGUGGGUUGCGAAGUUGCGAAACGGAGCCAAUCCUAAAAAGCUGUUCGUAGUUCGGAUUGCAGGCUGCAACUCGCCUGCAUGAAGCUGGAGUUGCUAGUAACCGCAGGUCAGCACACUGCGGUGAAUACGUUCCCGGGCCUUGUACACACCGCCCGU